Molecule: non-coding RNA, 6734 nt
Organism: Vicugna pacos (alpaca)
Lineage: Eukaryota; Metazoa; Chordata; Mammalia; Artiodactyla; Camelidae
Source: RefSeq, a predicted model, not a curated record
ACUUAACUUGAUGCUUGAUAGCUGUUUACUUACCAUUGUGUGCCCAGAUUUCAGUGUCCUGUAAAAGAAAGGGAAAUAAAGAAACCACGGCAUUCAUAUGGCUUUUAGGGAACUUAAGACACAUGGAAGAAAGUGCUUCGAAGGCUAUUGAAAUAUUUACAAAACAAAUCAUUUACAUUUAACUUUUGUAGUUGUAAAACCCAGAGCGCCUACAAAGACAGAGCCAACUUUAGUUAUAAGAAAUACUUCGGCAUCAAAAUGGUUAAUAGUAUUAUAGCUUCAAAAGAGCCUAUUGGCUCACCCUCAAGGAUGCCCUGCAGUUGUUGUUAAAGUCAUCAGAUGAAGCUAGCCUUCUCAGCUAGCCUUUAGAUUUGUCUGCUAACAGUAAAAAUACUAUAAUAAAUCGGUAACAUAUGUUGCCAGGCAAGGAAAAGUGAUAUAAAUAAAGAGACUAGGAGACCCAAACCAAGUACAAUGUGAAAAGAAGUUAACUUGCAAUCUAUUCGUUGGCUAAUUACCAUUUGAAAAGUAAUUUGAAAGUGUUACUGUUAUUUGCUUAUCUUCUACCUCAUUUUUCUUUUUUUCUCUUCAGAUUGCAUUCUUACCCAAAUACUCUUCGUGAUUGCCUGCUUUGCGGCUUUGGGAUUCUUCAGGGAGAGAAAAGCAUUCCCAUGGAUGACCUCUCCAUUUUCUCAUCAUGUUAAUUCACGUUCCUCAAAAGGAGCUUCUUGGGUUGAAAAAUGAGUGAAAAUUCCUCGUAGGUUUCUGAUUCACCUGAGAAAUACACGUCGGCUUUCUCAGAAAGAACUUGAGCCAUGGUCCUGUACCCCAAGCCAAACACUCAGUUGAGCUUCCAGAACCAUGGGCCUCCCUUGACCUGGAAGGCACCGAGCUUGUGUACGCGGAACUCACAGUUGGCCUAGGGAUAACUUGAUCCCAAAUGGAACCGUUUGGAAAUCGCUGCCUCUAAGCCAUAGUGCUACAUACCCUGCAAAGUGAGAGGUUUGGGACUUCCGAGUUAACUCACCCAGGAAAAGCUGACGUACGCAUUGAAAGUGAAAAUAAAAUCCCAGGACCAUGACGACCACUGCUCUGGGUUCUGUUCAGUGCUGCCAGUUGUCUGUCUGGAGUUUCCGUUUGGGUUAGCUAUUUUCUUUUGGAUUUUUACCUGAUUUGAGUGAGCUUAUCAAUUUUCAGUUAAUAAAAUGAAGCGUCCUAAAAGAGUGAGCAACUUCUUUUUCCAGAGCGCUCUCUGUCGUGAUCCAGCUUGGUCCAGAACCAUCCCAGAGCGGGAAACUAUGACCAACUUAAUGUCAGCUUCCUCCAAAACACAGGAAGUGUAAGGGGGAGAUACGGACAUCCAGAAAGGAGACAAGAAAAGAACGAUGAGGACACAGCCACGAGUAGUUUGGAGGCGAUAGGAAGUCUCAGAGUUCAGACUUUGAGAAGCUUUGCUAUUUCCGACCUCGUUAAGACCAAAACCCAGGAGUCCUAAGGUUACACUGACUCUCCUCCCACCACACUACGCUCCCCACAGCUGUUCGCGUAGUCUCAUGAGACCAGGGGCGAGUCUCGCGAGAAUAGGGAUGAGUCUUGCGAGAAUAGGGGUGAGUCUCGCGAGAACAGGGGCAAAUCUCGCAAGAGUUGGGGAAAGCCUUGAGAGAAAAUCGAGGGCUCUUCUCCCGAGUGUAAAUGGGCCACCGCUGGCGAGAAGGGGUCCGUCUCUGGAGUUCCGGAGCAGUGAGUCAUGAGUGCGGUAAGGGAGAAUGUGGCGAGGGAUGGAGUUCUUCGCUCGUGUGUGAAAAAUAGUUUCCCCUUGAGAGAGAGAGAGGCCUGUGCUCUCCCGAGCAGUGGGCUUAGUCGCCUGAGAAAACGGGGAAAUCUCUGGAAAGUUGGGUAACCCCUUGUGAGAGAAUAAAGGGAUAUUCUCAUGAGGGUGGAUGGCUUACUGCUCGGGAAAGAUCUUCCUGCUGUGUCACUAAGUUGACAUCUGGGAAAAUUGGGUGUCAGAGACUUCAAGGCGCUCCUUAAAAGUCAGGCGACUAGUGAAAGGCGGCCCCAGAGCUGGAAUUCCCUCCUCAGCCUAGUGCGUUUUACAUCAUUCGGAGCACCAGGGGACAACCCAGUUACUAGGAAUCGUAUGAAAAAGUGAAUGUUAUUACGAACAUGAAUUUUUAUUUCAGCAUUGUUUACGAUGAUAAAUUCCUAGCAGCAACUUAAAUGUCCACCAAAGGGGAAAUACGAUAUAUUUGUAAAAUUAAAAACAAUGAUGUGGGUCCAAAAGUGACAGGAAGCUUUAUAUAUAUGCUCACCAAGCUGCAGGUUACCUAAGAAAGCUAACAUUAGAGACUAUGGCCCUAAUUUUUUGGGUGUGCAGCUGUGCGUGCGCGCGCAUGCGUAUGUUUAUAUGCCAGGUUAAAUUUCUUUUAAGAAUACUGAAGAAGCCGUAGACAGCAGUUGCCUUGGGGGAAAGAAAUUGGGGAUCAGAUCACUACUUUUUUUCACUGAUUGAUUUAAAAAACUGUCAUAUAUACUAUAUUUUGACAUUAAAAUAUGACUUUCCUUUCCUGUUCUGUGCAUUUCAAAAAUAUAUAUAUAUAUAUGUAUGUAUGACUUAAAAGACCCAUCUCCUGCUUUCCAAACUUGGGUAUCAGCCCAGGCUCUGUUAUCUCUUAGCACUGUGAUCUUAGGCAAGGACCUUCAUUUCUCUGAGCCUCAGUUUCAUCCUCUGUGAAAUGAAGAUGAUGGGGUUCUCGUACAAAUUGUUCGUGCACAUUAACUGAAGAAAAAGUUCUGUGAAAGUGCUUUCGCAGCUCUCAAAGUCCAUCCAGUUGCUAGUAAUUACUACGUUACAGUAUUUUUGUUGAUGAAAAUUUCCCUUUGCUCCUUCCCCUCCCGCCCCCCACCUCCUAGGCCACAGGGUCAGGGAGGAUGCCUUUGGCAUUGAACUGUAAAUAAUCUCCUUAGUGUUUCUGGCCAGCCGGAAGCACUGACUGGGAAGGGAGACUGAGGAGUUCAGGCAUCAGGGAAGGUCUGAAUCGGAGUCUGUCAGUCUUUUUUCACAACUUGGUGAGCAUUUUAAUUAUGGCAGCUGGACUUGAUUUUCCUGUAUCCUAGCGCAGUUGCGGAAUUGGGAUUCAAAAAUCCUCUCUUGAUCUUCACCUGUCUAGAAAGGAUGGAAACGUCUAACUCCACUUCAUUUAUUUGUUCAACCAGUAGUUAUUGAGCACAGACUGUGCUAGGCACUGGGCUGAGUGAUCAGGACAGUUCUCCUGACCCCUGGAGUUUACAGUAGAGCAGACUCAACAGAUACUUAUUAACUGACUAUUGUGCACAGUAAUCAGCAUUUAUUUUAAACAAAGGAUAAACAGAACACUUACAUCCAUCCGAUAACUCCUAUGACUGCAGUUACAAUAAUAUUCACGAAUGUAUUUCUAGCUCUUCAUUGCUAAUAUAAAAACAGAGCACCCACCUGCCUAGAGUUUGUAUAUACCUAUUCACUCAUCCUGGCCAUAUUUUCCAAAAGGCAUCAGUGGUCGGGGGCAGUAAGAGCCAGACGUGUGGGGGUUUUCCAAGGGUUUCAUGAUGUCCUCUAAUUUGGGUCUGUAAGUUUGAUCCUUAGAGGGCUAUGAAAGUUAAUAGGAGAAGCAGAACAAGUAGAGAUCCCUUGGAGACAAGAAAGACAUCUUUUUAGAACUCAGCAUUAUUGAUGAGAACUCGGGGGGAACAACAGAUCAUGAACCAGCUUGAGAUCUUCUUUCAUGAAAAGAUCAUGAUUCAUAUGGAGCAACUUCCUUCCCUCGCAGACCCUCCCUGCUCCCCCUCGCCCACAAACUUCCCUCCCCAUAACAGAACCUCACAUUAGAGAGCUUGAAUUCAAAUAAUUCAGGUCCGGAAAAAAAGAAACCUCUUGUUAGAACACAGACAUCAUUGACAAUUAGCCAGGAUUCCAAGGAGGAAAAAAGGGAGGCCCAGGCAAGGUAAACGCAUUUGUGUUUAUACAGCGUGUGAUGUGUUUUGAAGUUUUCCCCAAGGAGAAAGGCCCUCUCUCCUACUUCAAAAGCCAUUUUCAUGGUUUUGAAAUUACUAGAAAUUAUGGGCUAACCCCCGUUCACACGUAAUUUAUUUCACCCAGUAUCUCAUGUUUUGUGAUAACAUGCAAAUACCAUAUGUUGCGCUUUCUCUUUAUGGAUGGAGGAGAAGGGGAGGGAGAACUGGCAGAAUUAUCACUAGGCACUGCAGAACUGUCCACUGAAAUCCACAUUUACCAUGGUGACGUUUACUGAUUAUGGCAGAGCUGAUCAAGUGCAGAUUUUCCUGCUGCUGAGGCUAAAUUGCAAGCUGCUCAUAAUGCCAUCAGAUGCUGCGCGGUUUUCAGCCAAUGAGAACGUCAGGAACGCUUCGCCCCUUCAGUGUUAACCAUGGCGGCAGAGCCCCAGGCCACCAUUGGUCCAGGCUCUACUGUGUUUGAACUGGAGUGACCUCACACCGCACUUUCUUGGAAUAAAUGUAUCUCUCAUUAUCUCAUGGGUCCCAAACACUUAAACCGGAAAUCCUAAUGUAUUCCUAGGGACUUCAUUUUUAUUUUCCCUAACAGGUAUUUAUUUUCUUAAAUGAAACAGUCAAUAUUUAGGAGUAUAUAUUAUUCAUAAGACUGAGAGAGAGAAAAAAACAAAUUAUUUUUUUUUAUUCUGUUUCAUCGGAGGCAAAAUGUUUUAUGCCAGGCCAAGGGAGACAGAAACACAAAGCCAUCAUUCAGCUCCUAGCUGCUUCAAUCAUUUCUCUGCCAACAACGGUGAAAAGAUGUGAUUUUACAGGCAAACAGGAAGAAAAGGCUUGAACACACCUUGGGAGCGUGUUUAAGAAGUUGAUUUAUGUUUCACGCAGAGUGUUACACCUGCAGUUCAAGCAAAACUCAACUUGGCUGCCCCAAAGAGUCUGGUUUAUUAGGUAUCAAGGAGUCGCAAGAAGCGGUGUAAUUAAAACCGUAAUUAACUGGAAAAGGAAAGUGCCACCUGAGUUUUGAGAGGCUGUCAAUUUUAUUUCCAUUACGGCCCUCCUGGUUCUCCUCUCGGACUCCUUCCCUUUUGCUCGAUAAGAAAACAAUGAUUGCACACACUCUGCAUACAUACAUGUUUUUCAUGUGUGAAAACAUGUCUGAAUGGUUGUUUCUUAUGGAAAAGGCCACACGAGUUGUAUUUCAGGUUAUGUUUCAGGUUUUCUAGAUCAAUGUCUUCGUGGGAGAAACACUCUCGAAGUGCACUGGGCAGUAGUGUAGCUUCCAGUCGCAUGUGGCUGAUGAGCACUAGAACUAGGGCUAGUCUGAAUUCAGAUGCACUGUAAGCGUACAGAACACAUCAGAUUUUAAAGAUGUCAGUACAAAAAAAAAGUAAAAUAUCUCAGUGAUACUUGGAAUAUUAAUUACUUGUUGAGUAAUAUUAUUUGGGGUAUACUGAGUUGUAUCAGAAUAUAUUAUUGUUUAAUUUCACCUGUUGCUUUUUACUUUUUUGAGGGUGGCUACUAGGAAAUUGAGAAUGACAUCCGUGGCUCACACGAUGUUUAUAUUGGGCAGUUCUGGAGGUUGGGUUCCUGCAUUUCCCACUGAACUAUGCAAGGAUUCACUGGAAAUAACUUUUUCGUGUCCUUUCUGCUGUUCCUGGGGCUGUGAGGGCCGGCUGGCCUGGUGAAAUCAGAGCUCUUGGUGGCAGUGCGCGUGCGUGCUGGAACACGUUAUUAAGGCACAUGUUUGUGAUUGCCGGAUUGUUCAACUCAAUUUCUCAAUAAAAGGCUCAAAGGGAGAUGUCUGAGCAGCACAAAUGGAACUUCAAGGGUCCUUUCUUCUCUAACUGCCCCUUGGCCAACAGAGGUUCAAACGCAACAUGAAAUACGUUAGCACCAGAACAAGGAGUGCUAGAAACUUCAAAUGAAGGUACUGAAAGCCGGCUCAAAACCAACACGUGUGCCUUAAUUUGUGAAUUAAAGUGCUGAUCAAACCAUCUUUUGAAAAAGGUCAAUCCAUUUACAUUAGACUCUGUAAACAUCCGUCUCAUGUUAUUAUGCCAUCUUUCUGAAUCACAUCCUUUGAGGUAAUAAAGAGGAUUUGUAAUAAAGACAAUUAUGUAACAGUUUUGAAGGUGUCUAGGGAAGGAGGCUUUUAGCCACUUUAUAUCAGAAAUAGGCAAAAGUUUUAAAUAUCUCAGUCGUCUUCUUUUCCUUUUCAACCACUUUUAGGGUUGGGGAGCGGGUAGUCAAGAUAGACAAUUUGGACGCCUUCAAAAAGAAGUGCAGCAUCUUAUUUCCCUGUUAACAACAGAGUGGUGACAAACCUAUUGAUGAAAACUGCCCAAGGAAGUUAACAGACUGAAACCACCUUUCUUUGGGCAGAGGGAGAAAAAAAUCAGGUCUCUUCCUAGUCUAACUCGACCUCCACUGCAGUGCACAUUUUAGCUGCAUCUGUUACAAAGUAAGGGUCUCUGGAAUCUUCCAGUGCAGAACAGAAAUAUGUCGGUGCGUAAUUUUGGAAGUGAGCCUGAAGUACCCUGAGCAGAUGACACACGGGGCUUAGGUCCUGAUUCAGCUACAAGUCAGCAGGGCACCCCAGGACCAUCUGCGUUCUAUAAAUUACAGUAACUCCGGCACAUGCGGCUUGUAAAUCACCAGCGAACAGGCUUCACCUUGUGACACACGACAUGAACCCUGUUGUAUAUUCCAAUAAACUCCCAUAAACCAUCUGA